CCGGGAAACCACCACCGCCGCGACCACCACCUCCGGCCACUCCAGGAUUAGCAUCUUUAGGAAGAGCUCUCUUAACUUCCACUUGUUUACCGCUCAAAUCGUGGUAACUCUUGUGCAAAACAAGGUCAACCGAAUCUUCAGAGUCAAACGAAACAAACCCAAACCCUCUAGGACGCUGCGUGGCCUGGUCAAUCAUAAUAACCGCAUCGCUCACAGGGCCGUAAGUCUCGAAGUAAGCCCUAAACUCAUCUGACGUUAAAGCAGGAGGCAAACCUCCCACGAAUAUCUUCUUAGUCCUCACGUUAGCUCCACUAUCAAAACUCCUAUUACCAUUAAAACCCCCUUGUCUCCCUGCAGGAGACUGCUCGUCUCUAGACAUUGCUCUCUUCACAUCAACCUAAUAUGAGUUAAAACCACAUUAAAAGCUUGAAUCUUUAACAUCCACUAGAGAAACCCAACUCGUAAAAAAGGGAAAGUUUUGAAAUUUACAUCUCUAUUAUCGAUAUGGUGCUUGUCCUGGAGAACUCUAUCAAUAACGGCGGGAUCGGAGAAUGCGACGAAUCCGAAUCCUCUGGGACGACCUGUAGCUUUGUCUCGCAUCACCGUAACCUGCAAAACCUCUCCGAAAUUGCUGAAGUAUUCUCUCAGAAUAUUCUCGUCGGUUUCCCAUGAAAUCCCGCCGAUAAAGAGCUUUCCCUGAUCUGAUUCCAUUGCUUACACUCUCGAUGUACCCAAAAUGAAAAACCCUAGAUUGGUCCCCGACGAAUCCUCCCCGGUGAAGAAGGGGAAAGGAGGUAGUGACUCGAGAAAAUUAGGGUUUGGGAUUGUGAAAUCGAGUGAGAGUCAGAGAGAGAGAUGAGGAAGUAACAGACUUGGAAAGUAGUAAUGGGUCAUUGGGCUAAGGAGAAUGAAAGAGACCAAACUUUAAAUGGCUUGACAACAUUAAGCCCAAAAUUAAAGACGUGUGAGAAGAACAUGAGUAAAAACACUAUACUGAUUAAAGACUAAAUGAUCAAUACAUAUUUUAAAAAGAUUUUUGAGAACCAAAUGAUAUACAUAUUAAUCAGAAAAAAAAACUAGACCAAAGUAAAUGUUUCGUCUCGCUAUGUUCUAGAUAUCGUCAAGCGCAAUACCCGAACUACGAAAUUUCAUGGUACCACUGUAAAGGAGUUCCCUAUCAAUUGAAGCAGAGUGAAGAAAUCAAUAUGUAACAUCCCGAGUUGUGAUAUAUGGAAAGGCUUAAGAGAAUUGAUUUGGCAACCUAUGUCACCAAAAUUAACUUACCUUUUUCGUUACACAUCCGUUUAGAACUCCAGAGUUAAGCGUGUUUGGACUGGAGUAGUGAAAGGAUGGGUGACCUAUCGGGAAUUGAUUCGCGAUAGCGUGCGAGUGAGGCCAAAGCACCCUCCAGAGCCAUCUGACACAUCAGCAUAGCCACCGCCAUGGCUGUUAGGCCGCCCACCGACUGCACCAUAACCAGAUUGUGUUCCAUAAGAGGAAUCAUUUCCACCAUAGCCAUAACCCUGACUGCCAUACCCCGCAGCUGCACCUCCUUGACCAAUCCCUACUGAACCAGGACCAGAACCACCCCAAGGAGCAGCAGCAGCAUUUCCAUAUCCCACGUUGUUACCGUAACCCGAUGGUGCUUGACCUUCCCAUGACGGUCUCGGACCACUUCCAAACCCUGCUCCAGGGCCACCAGGAUUCCCAUAAGGCGCACCAGAUGGAUUCCCAUACCCUCCUCCUCCAAAACCCCCAUAACCUGCACCGCUGCUUCCAUAACCAUAACCAGUACCAUACCCAGAAGCACCCCCAUAAGGAGGAUAACCACCACUUCCAGCGUUUUGAGGCGGCAUGUAUCUACUGGAAUCAACACGACCCUCGUAGCCACUUCCACCAGAACCACCAUAUCCCGGGAAACCACCACCGCCGCGACCACCACCUCCGGCCACUCCAGGAUUAGCAUCUUUAGGAAGAGCUCUCUUAACUUCCACUUGUUUACCGCUCAAAUCGUGGUAACUCUUGUGCAAAACAAGGUCAACCGAAUCUUCAGAGUCAAACGAAACAAACCCAAACCCUCUAGGACGCUGCGUGGCCUGGUCAAUCAUAAUAACCGCAUCGCUCACAGGGCCGUAAGUCUCGAAGUAAGCCCUAAACUCAUCUGACGUUAAAGCAGGAGGCAAA
RNAcentral lists this long non-coding RNA (2184 nucleotides) under Brassica napus (rape). Its description in RNAcentral is "long non-coding RNA (BNAP_LNC004063)". The record is from RNAcentral. Lineage: Eukaryota; Viridiplantae; Streptophyta; Magnoliopsida; Brassicales; Brassicaceae.